This 190-nucleotide ribosomal RNA is filed under the name Lysinibacillus sphaericus. Its description in RNAcentral is "partial 16S ribosomal RNA". It matches the Rfam family "Bacterial small subunit ribosomal RNA", at positions 1 to 183 of the family's 1533-position model. The record is from RNAcentral. Lineage: Bacteria; Bacillati; Bacillota; Bacilli; Caryophanales; Bacillaceae.
UUUUUAUGGAGAGUUUGAUCCUGGCUCAGGACGAACGCUGGCGGCGUGCCUAAUACAUGCAAGUCGAGCGAACAGAGAAGGAGCUUGCUCCUUUGACGUUAGCGGCGGACGGGUGAGUAACACGUGGGCAACCUACCUUAUAGUUUGGGAUAACUCCGGGAAACCGGGGCUAAUACCGAAUAAUCUAUUU